Molecule: ribosomal RNA, 492 nt
Filed under: uncultured bacterium
Lineage: Bacteria
Description: partial 16S ribosomal RNA
Rfam family: Bacterial small subunit ribosomal RNA
Source: RNAcentral
AGUGAACGCUGGCGGUAGGCCUAACACAUGCAAGUCGAACGGCAGCACAGUAAGAGCUUGCUCUUACGGGUGGCGAGUGGCGGACGGGUGAGGAAUACAUCGGAAUCUACUUUUUCGUGGGGGAUAACGUAGGGAAACUUACGCUAAUACCGCAUACGAUCUACGGGUGAAAGCAGGGGAUCUUCGGACCUUGCGCGAUUGAAUGAGCCGAUGUCGGAUUAGCUAGUUGGCGGGGUAAAGGCCCACCAAGGCGACGCUCCGUAGCUGGUCUGAGAGGAUGAUCAGCCACACUGGAACUGAGACACGGUCCAGACUCCUACGGGAGGCAGCAGUGGGGAAUAUUGGACAAUGGGCGCAAGCCUGAUCCAGCCAUACCGCGUGGGUGAAGAAGGCCUUCGGGUUGUAAAGCCCUUUUGUUGGGAAAGAAAAGCAGCAGGUUAAUACCCCGCUGUUCUGACGGUACCCAAAGAAUAAGCACCGGCUAACUUCGUG